ACAUGUAUGCUCGUCCUCGCUGUCGCCGCAGGGGAAUCCGGUGGGAAUCCGGAACUGUCCCGCAACGGUGUAGGAGCGCGCUCGGCCGGGCGGAUACCGGCCCUGGGCGCGUGCCCGUGUAGUCCGAGGACCUGCCGACGGUACGUCCGCACC
RNAcentral lists this non-coding RNA (153 nucleotides) under Streptomyces sp. The record is from RNAcentral. Lineage: Bacteria; Bacillati; Actinomycetota; Actinomycetes; Kitasatosporales; Streptomycetaceae.